CCUACGGGUCGCAGCAGUGAGGAAUAUUUGUCAAUGGACGAGAGUCUGAACCAGCCAAGUAGCGUGAAGGAUGACUGCCCUAUGGGUUGUAAACUUCUUUUAUAUGGGAAUAAAAUGUUCCACGUGUGGGAUUUUGUAUGUACCAUAUGAAUAAGGAUCGGCUAACUCCGUGCCAGCAGCCGCGGUAAUACGGAGGAUCCGAGCGUUAUCCGGAUUUAUUGGGUUUAAAGGGAGCGUAGGUGGAUUGUUAAGUCAGUUGUGAAAGUUUGCGGCUCAACCGUAAAAUUGCAGUUGAAACUGGCAGUCUUGAGUACAGUAGAGGUGGGCGGAAUUCGUGGUGUAGCGGUGAAAUGCUUAGAUAUCACGAAGAACUCCGAGUGCGAAGGCAGUUCACUGGACUGCAACUGACACUGAGGCUCGAAAGUGUGGGUAUCAAACAGGAUUAGAUACCCCUGUAGUC
RNAcentral lists this ribosomal RNA (460 nucleotides) under uncultured bacterium. RNAcentral describes it as "partial 16S ribosomal RNA". It matches the Rfam family "Bacterial small subunit ribosomal RNA", at positions 338 to 795 of the family's 1533-position model. The record is from RNAcentral.